UGGUCGCUUCCACCCUAAGAUUCUAUUAUUCCCUCUGUGCUUUGUGCCACAAGGAUGGUGCUUCUCUGUUGUUCAUGAACAACAUCUUCCCACAUGAAACGCAGAGGACAAAAGGACUACAAGGGAGUCAGCCACCAGCCACUUCUAGACCCAGAACAUCUGGAAAAGGUGUUCGCACCUUUUCUGUUGCCUGAAGAGCAACAUUGAAGACCUUCCUGUGCCUCCUGACAGGACUGAAGAGGCACAGGAACUGGAUGACCAGCAGGGAGAAUUGAAGACACAUCUUCACAUGUCUGAUGGAGACGUCUCUUCAUUUCUAGGGCCCUUCCCUCCUGAGGAAGAUGAACGUUCCACCACCUGCAGAGGACUUUUAAUGUAUACCUUCAAUGGAACAAUUGUUACUUGCACAUUUUCACAUGUCUGAUGGAGACGUCUCUUCCUUUCUAGGGGUAAGAAUGCUUCUGCAACAUGGGCAGUGGGGGUUCAUUCUUCAAACCUGGGUGGGGGAAGGGAAGAAUG
This is a non-coding RNA of Pantherophis guttatus, 519 nucleotides long. NCBI's taxonomy places the organism in Eukaryota, Metazoa, Chordata, Lepidosauria, Squamata, Colubridae. The record is from RefSeq and is a predicted model, not a curated record.